This 467-nucleotide ribosomal RNA is filed under the name uncultured bacterium. RNAcentral's name for it is "partial 16S ribosomal RNA". It matches the Rfam family "Bacterial small subunit ribosomal RNA", at positions 29 to 507 of the family's 1533-position model. The record is from RNAcentral.
ACGAACGCUGGCGGCGUGCUUAACCCAUGCAAGUCGAACGGAAAGGCCCUGCUUUUGUGGGGUGCUCGAGUGGCGAACGGGUGAGUAACACGUGAGUAACCUGCCCUUGACUUUGGGAUAACUUCAGGAAACUGGGGCUAAUACCGGAUAGGAGCUCCUGCUGCAUGGUGGGGGUCGGAAAGUUUCGGCGGUUGGGGAUGGACUCGCGGCUUAUCAGCUUGUUGGUGGGGUAGUGGCUUACCAAGGCUUUGACGGGUAGCCGGCCUGAGAGGGUGACCGGCCACAUUGGGACUGAGAUACGGCCCAGACUCCUACGGGAGGCAGCAGUGGGGAAUAUUGCACAAUGGGCGGAAGCCUGAUGCAGCAACGCCGCGUGCGGGAUGACGGCCUUCGGGUUGUAAACCGCUUUCGCCUGUGACGAAGCGUGAGUGACGGUAAUGGGUAAAGAAGCACCGGCUAACUACGUG